AUACGGAGGAUGCGAGCGUUAUCCGGAUUUAUUGGGUUUAAAGGGUGCGUAGGCGGACGAUUAAGUCAGCUGUGAAAUGCCCGCGCUUAACGCGGGAAGUGCAGUUGAUACUGGUUGUCUGGAGUGCCGUUGCCGUGGGGGGAAUGUGUAGUGUAGCGGUGAAAUGCAUAGAUAUUACACAGAACGCCGAUUGUGAAGACACCUCGCGUAGCGGUAACUGACGCUGAGGCACGAAAGCGUGGGGAUCGAACAGGAUUAGAUACCCUGGUAGUCCGCACAGUAAACGAUGAAUACUCGCUGUUUGCGAUACACUGUAAGCGGCCAAGCGAAAGCGUUAAGUAUUCCACCUGGGGAGUACGCCGGCAACGGUGAAACUCAAAUGAAUUGACGGGG
RNAcentral lists this ribosomal RNA (393 nucleotides) under uncultured bacterium. RNAcentral's name for it is "partial 16S ribosomal RNA". It matches the Rfam family "Bacterial small subunit ribosomal RNA", at positions 523 to 918 of the family's 1533-position model. The record is from RNAcentral.